AUUUCUGUAUCGCUGAAAACCGUAUGGUGCGGGGGACCCGUUUUUUGGGGUGAAUCCUUUUUAGGUAGGGCUACUCAUGGCCCGAAUCCGUCAGCUAACCUCGCAAGCGUUAUUGGGAAGGAAG
Regulatory RNA element from Bacillus sp. B-jedd, 124 nucleotides. It matches the Rfam family "c-di-AMP riboswitch aptamer (ydaO/yuaA leader)". From Rfam's summary of the family: This family represents a conserved RNA structure found upstream of the ydaO and yuaA genes in Bacillus subtilis and related genes in other bacteria. The ydaO/yuaA element is thought to act as a genetic "off" switch for the ydaO and yuaA genes in its native state. It is believed that the element may be triggered during osmotic shock leading to activation of ydaO, a predicted amino acid transporter gene, and members of the yuaA-yubG operon which code for KtrA and KtrB K+ transporters. The record is from Rfam. Lineage: Bacteria; Bacillati; Bacillota; Bacilli; Caryophanales; Bacillaceae.